UUUGGAUCUCCCCUGCGAUCCACCGUUGCCCAACCCUACGUCGCGAUGCCGCGCCUCUGCCCUUGGGCCGAGCCGCCACCGGGCGCGUGGCCGUUCGCUUCCCCACCGCCUCCCCUCCUCCGCCUUCUCCUUCAAAGCCCGCCGAGACCGUCGCAGCUCGCCAAAAAUCAACUGCCAUUGCCCUUCGCGACCGCGCCCCAUGCCGCGGGAACCCCCCACCUCAACGCGGAGCCGCCGCCGCCAAGCGCGCCGCAGAUCCGCUAUCUCCCUGCGCGCGCGACUCCUGCCUUGGUGCCGCCGUCGCGGAUCCUCGACCUCCCCAUCCCGACUCCCGUAGCGGCUGCGGAGCCACCGCCGCCACGGCCAACGCGCGGCCCCAUCCUACCGUGGAGCCGCCGCCGCCGCCUGACUCACGCCGCGGGUGACGGUUCCCCUGCCCCAUCGUGGCAUCGACGCCGCACUCCCCUCGCGCGGAGCUGCCUCCGCCCUGUCACCUGGUCACCCGGAGUGUCGCGCGGAGGGAGGGGGUGCACGUCGUCCUCGAUCCCGUCGACGCCGCCCUCACGUAGCGCGGAGCCGCCGCCAUCCAUCGACCCAUCGCCCGAACACGCCGCCGCCGCCCUCACGUAGCGCCGAGCCACCGCCAUCCAUCGACCCAUCACGCGAACACGCCGCCGCCACCAUCCAUCGUCCCAUCGCACGAACACGCCAGAUCCGCUGCUGUUCAUUGUCCCCGUCGCACGAACAUGCCGAGCGGAGGGCUCGCCCGUCGACCGGUUGUGUCGUCCCCUACCCCCUAUCUUUUCCACAACGAGAUGAAUCUGCCUGCAAUCUUGCUUUCUGGCUCCAUUUUAAUUCUUCAAUCUGCAGCAUUUCUCGACAUCAAUGGGCCCUCACCAACGAAUCCCUCCUCGGCAAGUUCCGUCUGACCUUUCUUGAUCUCUGGAGGGUUCUUACAGGCAGGCACCCAUGUAGAAACCAUGGCUGCCUGUGCAUUUGUGCAGGCACCCACGCCACGAAGCCCUGGCUGCCAUGAAGGAUUCAGAACGCAGAGGCAAAUUAGGUAUCCAGGUUGGUCAGGGCAAGGGCAUGGCAAGGGGAAGAAAGGGGAAGAAUGGAGAGGAAGAAAAUAUCACUAUCUAUACUGAAGCAAAAUAAUUUCUGUCAUUUUAGGUUGGCUUAGGAUGGAAAAUUAGGGGUAAUUUGAUCUAAAAGCAUUUCUAUUUACAAGGAUGGCUGCAAUGCAGUAUUUUAAGACAGCAGUUCUGAUGGAUUUUUGGUCAAACAUUUAAUGGUAUUACAUGGUAUAAUAAUACUCUAAUUUGGUAGAAUAGUAUGCAUGGUAGUAGAGAUUUUGAUGUGAGCUAGGGCAUGACUUGACAAUUAUUGUGAAUAUACCAUAGUUUAUUGUAAAACAUUUUCUAUUCGACUAUUGGUUAGUGCAGAAUGCUGAUGCGCAUGAGUGAAUAAGCAAAUGCGCAGCUGCAGAUUUUGUUCAAUAAUCCACCUGCAGGAGUAAAAUACUAGCGCACAUCUAUGAACCUGCAUAUAACUCUGCCCGAUUAAUGUUUACUUAGAUUUAACUAAAUGUGUGGCUCCUUGAAAUUUUACCACAUGCUAGCUAGACACAUUACUUUGUCAACAGUUAGUUUUGUUAUGUCCUAGAUUGCCAAAAUGAAAAACAUAGGUUGAUCGAGAUUUAACCUUUACUUCUACUUUGUUUCAUUUAAAAUAUUUGAAGUCCAUAUUUUAGUUCUUGAAAUAGUUUACAUGGAUUAUUUUCAUGUCCCUACUAUGUUAUCAUAGGGGUCUCCAUAUUAUCCCAUUGAAUAUGAAAAAGUUUACUAAAUGUAUGUUUGGAUGUGCCAAUCUUUUGCACAAUGGAAGCAUUCCGACUUUCUCAACUCUGAACAUGGAACUGCUUUACUUCUACUGAACAUUUUGUUUCUUCUGUCGCAGGGCGCCAAGCCCAUACAUGAGAGUGGGGAGCCUAGGGUGUAGGGUCCUUGCCGUCCGGCAGCACGCCACAGCUCGGGACGGCUUCUUGAACGCCGACCUCACCCAGAUCGAGACCAUAAGCUUGCAAAGGACACAGGUGUUGUGACUUCUGAUGAUACACAUGCGUUAACCAUCAAUCUUUUGGAAUCAAACUCCUACUUUGGAACGGAACCAUCUCAAGUGAAAAUACUAAAGCAGGUUAUUUCUAAUUCCCUAUUCUUUUCAUUUGCCUAUUAGGAUAAAGAUGUUGGCCUGUGCAAUGUACCUUACACAAGCAGGAAAGCUUCACUUCAAAAAAAAAAAAAGAAGACACAAGCAGGCACUCUGUUAAAUUCCUGCUUACCUCUUCGACAAUUUUCUUCCUUUGCACUUUGAAGAUGCAUGCCACAGUGAUAAAAUAGAAAGAUAAGUACAGGAAGUAUUGCCUAUGGAGGGGCUCUGACAUUAAUGACCGAAAGCCACCAAAAGCUGCUUGUCCAAUGGUUUGCAAGUAAAAAAAAAGGAGGUUUGGGGUGUUCUGAAUUUAACUACCCAAUAUGAAGCCAAACUGUGCAUUCAAGGAUUGUGCAUUCAACUAUCCUUUGUUGAGAGAAGAAAACAAAACAACUAGCCUGGAUGGAACUUGAAAAGCUCCCUCUGCCCAUGUACAUGUGCAUCUCUAGGCUCUAGCUGUACUGUUGGCUAGCAAUAUGUUUAUCUCAUUGUACUAUUGCAUGAUUAGCCUGAAAAUCCUGUGCCUGCAGCCUUGGCAAGCUGCGAAGACUAUUAGCAGUGGAGAUCCCUUCCCCUGCAUUCACCUAUGACCUAUUGUUGUUUUACUUCAUUGGGUAUGUACAUUGUAGCAUGUUAUGGACAUUGCUUGAACUUUGUAUCAUGGCCUGAGGUUCAAUUUUGCAGCCACUUUGCAUCAUUGACUUCAACUCAAUCGCCUCAAAACCUCAACAUAUGAUGGACAGGACACCCUGUGCAUUCACUAUUUAGGUUGAGGAGUUUUGAGGAUAAGAGAUUACUGGCCAUGCUUAUAGUUCAUUGCUUGCAAGUGAUCUGCUAAAGCUCCCGUAGCAACACAGGGGCAUUCAACUAGUCUUGGGAAAAGGCAGGGUACAAUGGUAAUUCUUGGAGCACGGUGCGGCUGCUUCACGCCCCCACCUGUGAUGGUGUUGGUGCCAACGAAUUCGAGUGGCUUCAUCGUCGUGCUCAUCGAAAGAUCAGCUGGUGGUGGUGCGUCGAGGAGCGAGCUAGCAUUUUGCUGCAUGGUCUCAUUUUUCCAUACUCCCUCUUCUCCCUUCUCUCGGGGUGCGAGUCGAGUUGGAUGUGAGGCUUGCAAGUUGAGUUGGGUGGGUGUGUCGGACUGCCGGUGCACGGUGCGCCGGGGAGGAAAUGGGCCGCCAGGCGCUUGCGUUGGGUGCGCCAUCACUUGAAAAGGAUAUAAAAACUUCCCUGAUUGAUGGACUGUCUUUGAAGAUGUCGGUUGCUUUUAGCAUCUUUUUUAUUGGUAUAUCACUCAGCCCCUUAAGAACUGUGAUGCACUUCUUAAUACUGAAGGGAUUCUCCAGCUUCUCCUAUAUAGAUGUAAAUCGCUCAAUCUCUUCCCCUUUCCCUUCAGUAUUACGUGGAUGGAUUGUGUGUAGUGUGUAAGCGUUGGGUGGAGUGUGUGUAGUUUUUUUUGUAAGCACUGGGUGGAGUGUGUGUAGUUUUUUUAGUAAGGACGGGUGGAGUCAAAUACUCUUCUGUACCAUUCUUUUGAACCUUCGAGAAGUACUUUUGUGUAUGGCGCCUAA
Panicum virgatum (switchgrass) is the source of this 3779-nucleotide long non-coding RNA. RefSeq lists it as uncharacterized. The record is from RefSeq and is a predicted model, not a curated record. NCBI's taxonomy places the organism in Eukaryota, Viridiplantae, Streptophyta, Magnoliopsida, Poales, Poaceae. The transcript has 4 exons.